RNAcentral lists this ribosomal RNA (459 nucleotides) under uncultured bacterium. RNAcentral describes it as "partial 16S ribosomal RNA". It matches the Rfam family "Bacterial small subunit ribosomal RNA", at positions 338 to 795 of the family's 1533-position model. The record is from RNAcentral.
CCUACGGGGGGCUGCAGUGAGGAAUAUUGGUCAAUGGUCGGGAGACUGAACCAGCCAAGCCGCGUGAGGGAGGAAGGUACAGAGUAUCGUAAACCUCUUUUGUCAGGGAACAAAGACUGGGACGCGUCCCCGGAUGAGUGUACCUGAAGAAAAAGCAUCGGCUAACUCCGUGCCAGCAGCCGCGGUAAUCCGGAGGAUGCGUGCGUUAUCCGGAUUUAUUGGGUUAAAGGGGUGCGAAGGCGGUUUGUUAAGUCAGCGGUAAAAGCCCGGGGCUCAACCCCGGCCCGCCGUUGAAACUGGCAGUCUCGAGUUGGAGAGAAGUAUGCGGAAUGCGCGGUGUAGCGGUGAAAUGCAUAGAUAUCGCGCAGAACUCCGAUUGCGAAGGCAGCAUGCCGGCUCCACACUGACGCUGAGGCACGAAAGCGUGGGUAUCGAACAGGAUUAGAUACCCCUGUAGUC